This 447-nucleotide ribosomal RNA is filed under the name uncultured bacterium. RNAcentral's name for it is "bacterial SSU rRNA". It matches the Rfam family "Bacterial small subunit ribosomal RNA", at positions 355 to 825 of the family's 1533-position model. The record is from RNAcentral.
UGGGGAAUCUUGGACAAUGGGCGCAAGCCUGAUCCAGCCAUGCCGCGUGGAUGAUGAAGGCCUUAGGGUUGUAAAAUCCUUUCGCCGAGGACGAUAAUGACGGUACUCGGAGAAGAAGCUCCGGCUAACUUCGUGCCAGCAGCCGCGGUAAUACGAAGGGGGCUAGCGUUGUUCGGAUUUACUGGGCGUAAAGCGCGUGUAGGCGGGUCGUUAAGUUGGGGGUGAAAUCCCGAGGCUCAAGCUCGGAACUGCCUUCAAAACUGGCGACCUGGACCUAAGUAGAGGCAAGUGGAAUUGCGAGUGUAGAGGUGAAAUUCGUAGAUAUUCGCAGGAACACCAGUGGCGAAGGCGACUUGCUGGACUUAUGGUGACGCUGAGACGCGAAAGCGUGGGGAGCAAACAGGAUUAGAUACCCUUGUAGUCCCUGAGCGGGCUGGCAAGGCGCAU